CAAGCUGAUCACUCAGUACGAUCAGACUGCAGCGGCCGAGAUGAAGCGCACCAACGCCAUCCGGCUGCUCAUGUCGGCAGUCAUCUCCGGUCGCAUUCCUGGCGAUCAGUACAAGAAGAUGCUCGCUGAGAUCAACAAGGAGUUUGAGGAAGGAUCAAAGAAAGGAUCGAAGUACGGCGAGACGAUCGAAUCCAUCAAGGAGAAGCAUCUCCCCGGUUUCGCUGCGCAGAAGACCUACAACGAGCAGCUGGCUGAAGCCAAGCGUUUGUUCGACGAAGGCGGCCUGACGGGCACUGAAUACGCCCAGGUCAUCGCCCACAUCAAGCAGGAAUACGACAACAGCAUCGCUUCUGCACAGAACGCGACUCAAAGCACGAAUCUGUACGCUGAGGCGAUGAAGAACGCAGC
Molecule: unclassified non-coding RNA, 408 nt
Filed under: fungal sp.
Lineage: Eukaryota; Fungi
Description: partial internal transcribed spacer region
Source: RNAcentral